GACGAACGCUGGCGGCGUGCUUAACACAUGCAAGUCGAACGGAAAGGCCCUGCUUUUGUGGGGUGCUCGAGUGGCGAACGGGUGAGUAACACGUGAGUAACCUGCCCUUGACUUUGGGGUAACUUCAGGAAACUGGGGCUAAUACCGGAUAGGAGCUCCUGCUGCAUGGUGGGGGUUGGAAAGUUUCGGCGGUUGGGGAUGGACUCGCGGCUUAUCAGCUUGUUGGUGGGGUAGUGGCUUACCAAGGCUUUGACGGGUAGCCGGCCUGAGAGGGUGACCGGCCACAUUGGGACUGAGAUGCGGCCCAGACUCCUACGGGAGGCAGCAGUGGGGAAUAUUGCACAAUGGGCGGAAGCCUGAUGCAGCAACGCCGCGUGCGGGAUGACGGCCUUCGGGUUGUAAACCGCUUUCGCCUGUGACGAAGCGUGAGUGACGGUAAUGGGUAAAGAAGCACCGGCUAACUACGUG
Molecule: ribosomal RNA, 468 nt
Filed under: uncultured bacterium
Lineage: Bacteria
Description: partial 16S ribosomal RNA
Rfam family: Bacterial small subunit ribosomal RNA
Source: RNAcentral